CGCCUCUUGCUUAUCUAUAAGAGGUCCAACCUGCCCAGUGAAUUCUUCAACGGCCGCGGUACCCUGACCGUGCUAAGGUAGCGCAAUCACUUGCCCUUUAAUUGGGGGCUAGUAUGAAAGGUCAAACGAGGGUGAACCUGUCUCAUCGGGUCCCAAUAAAACUUAACCUUCAUGUGAAGAGGCAUGACUACUAUAGAAAGACGAGAAGACCCUGUCAAGCUUCACACUAACCGUGCCACACACCCCCCCGCACAAAAAGUGUUUUGUUGGGGCAACACAGGAACCAACUCUUCCUCACGACCCCACUCCUUAUAGUAAAUAAUCCGGCACCGCCGAACAUAGACAAAGCUACUGCAGGGAUAACAGGCUAAUCUGCUUCGAGAGCCCACAUUGACAAGCAGGCUUGGCACCUCGAUGUUGGCUUAAGGGCCCUUGCUGGGGCAGCCCCCAGCAAAAGGAGGUUUGUUCAACCUAUAACCCCUUA
This 484-nucleotide ribosomal RNA is filed under the name Sipunculus sp. MCZ DNA103550_7. Its description in RNAcentral is "partial 16S ribosomal RNA". It matches the Rfam family "Bacterial large subunit ribosomal RNA", at positions 1830 to 2598 of the family's 2925-position model. The record is from RNAcentral. Lineage: Eukaryota; Metazoa; Annelida; Sipuncula; Golfingiida; Sipunculidae.